Long non-coding RNA from Parus major (Great Tit), 246 nucleotides. The record is from Ensembl. Lineage: Eukaryota; Metazoa; Chordata; Aves; Passeriformes; Paridae.
UGGUGGUUGGUUGUUUCUUUAAAAGAGGAUCUUAAAUCCAGGUGCUUCUUUGCAGGGUCAACUCCAAAGUUCUGCAGGGCACUGUACGUGGCACGUGACAGAGCAAGCCAAAAACAAAUGUCCAACGUGCAAGUUGUGAUACUUCAAGUCAAAACAUGCCCCUGUGCUGGAUUUCUAGAUCUUGGAAAGGAAGUGCAUGAGAGGUAAUACUGUGUGAGAUUGGUGUCUGAAGCUGUGGAGCAGGAA